RNAcentral lists this transfer RNA (68 nucleotides) under Marmota monax (woodchuck). RNAcentral's name for it is "tRNA.Ala". Lineage: Eukaryota; Metazoa; Chordata; Mammalia; Rodentia; Sciuridae. The record is from RNAcentral.
GUUGUGGCUCAGAGGUAGAGCACUUGCCUAGCAUGCCUGAGGCACUGUGUUUGAUCCUCAGCACGACA